RNAcentral lists this ribosomal RNA (253 nucleotides) under uncultured bacterium. RNAcentral's name for it is "partial 16S ribosomal RNA". It matches the Rfam family "Bacterial small subunit ribosomal RNA", at positions 524 to 776 of the family's 1533-position model. The record is from RNAcentral.
UACAGAGGUGGCAAGCGUUGUUCGGAAUUACUGGGCGUAAAGGGCGCGUAGGCGGUUCUCUAAGUCCUGUGUGAAAUCCCCCGGCUCAACUGGGGAACUGCACAGGAAACUAGCGGGCUUGAGUUCGGGAGAGGGAAGCGGAAUUCCGGGUGUAGCGGUGAAAUGCGCAGAUAUCAGGAAGAACACCCGUGGCGAAGGCGGUUCUCUGGGACGGUACUGACGCUGAGACGCGAAAGCGUGGGGAGCGAACAGG